GCGGUCGUGGCGGAAUUGGUAGACGCGCAGCGUUGAGGGCGCUGUUCCCGUAAGGGAGUGGAAGUUCGAGUCUUCUCGACCGCACCA
RNAcentral lists this transfer RNA (87 nucleotides) under Alphaproteobacteria bacterium. RNAcentral's name for it is "tRNA-Leu". It matches the Rfam family "tRNA". Rfam says of the family: Transfer RNA (tRNA) molecules are approximately 80 nucleotides in length. Their secondary structure includes four short double-helical elements and three loops (D, anti-codon, and T loops). Lineage: Bacteria; Pseudomonadati; Pseudomonadota; Alphaproteobacteria. RNAcentral also lists the same sequence under 3 other names. The record is from RNAcentral.